GACGAACGCUGGCGGCGUGCUUAACACAUGUAAGUCGAACGGAAAGGCCCUGCUUUUUUGUGGUUCUCGAGUGGCGAACGGGUGAGUAACACGUGAGUAACCUGCCCUUUACUUUGGGAUGACUUCAGGAAACUGGGGUUGAUACCACAUAAUAGCUCCUGCUGCAUGGUGGGGGUUGGAAAGGUUCGGCGGUUGGGGAUGGACUCCCGGCUUAUCAGCUUGUUGGUGGGGUAGUGGCUUACCAAGGCUUUGACGGGUAUCCGGCCUGAGAGGGUAAACGCGCACCUGGGGACUGAGGUAGGCAGCAGACGCCAACGGUGGGCAGUAGUCGGGAGUCUGACACAGUGGUGGCGAGCGUAAUGAAACAACGCCGGGUUCGGAAAGAAGGCCUUCGGGUUGUAAACCGAUUACGGCUGUGACGAAGCGUGAGUGACGGUACUGGGUAAAGAAGCACCGGCUAACUCCGUG
RNAcentral lists this ribosomal RNA (468 nucleotides) under uncultured bacterium. RNAcentral describes it as "partial 16S ribosomal RNA". It matches the Rfam family "Bacterial small subunit ribosomal RNA", at positions 28 to 507 of the family's 1533-position model. The record is from RNAcentral.